CCGCAAGCGUCCACAACACUCUCCCAGCUUAGACAGGGCCCGCCACGCGGCUUGAGGGCCCUAGCAAACUCGCAGGCCCCAAGAAGGCGGGGCGGCGGCGACAACACACAAUGGCUGCGUCGUCAGCGGUGAACAAAAACCUUGCUCAGGUCCUCUCCAAUCGGCCCGCCCAGCCAAAAAAGUGACCUUGGACGCCUUCUUCCCCUCCUUCAACCUUAGUUUCCUGGUUUGCAAAAGAGGUCCGGUCAGCCAGGCCGCGGGUGGGCGAGCGGCGCCCCAGAUAGAGACUUCCCUAUUUCCGACGCGAAUGCGGCGCCGGGCUCCGACAUCCGCGCGCUCUCUGGGGCCGAGUAGGCUGAGCGGGCCCGACCCCGAGAGGCGCGGUUCCGGGCUGCCCGAACGAGCCGCGACUGGCGGGCACCAACUCCGCUGCAGGUCGAGAAGCCGCCCGCACUGCCCUGACUUCCCGCCUCCAUCCGGCGAAGCCUAGUCUUACUUGGAGCUGGUGUGAUCAGGCAGACGCCACAGCCAACGCGCUCGAGCAAGGACGUGCCUCCUCCAGCAGCCGCCGAGGAGACCCGCUCAAGCAGGACUCCACCGCCUCACCGAGACCCACUUCCGCUCGGCCGGCCCCCGGCCCGCCCUUCACAGUCCCCAUUGGCCUCCGCCGCCCAUAAUCCCGUGCUUUACCGGUUUAGGAGUCUCGUUCGCAAUGCUAUUGGGGCCAGCCUUUCUCGAAGUUCCACAACAGACAUCUCGCCUUCCAGACCAUAUCCUGGGAUCUUCCAAAGAACAAGGGAAGACCUUAAGCUUGCAGCUGUAAAGCCAGGUGCCCCUCAACCAAGAAGACCUUUCCUCUGCUUCAGUCUGCCUGUGUAACCCCCAUCAGCAGCUCCAGCCUGGAACCCUACAGUGAAGCUGAACUUCUCAGCUAGAUGCCCCUCACCCUGGGGCUAGGGUUUCUCUGUGUAGCCCUGGCUGUUCUGGAACUUGAGACUAGGCUGGCCUCAAAUUCAGAGAUCCACCUGCCUCUGCCUCCUGAGUGCUAAGUGACAGGGGUGUAACCAGCGACCAUGCCUGUCUCAAGUAAGUAAGCAAGAAAAAAACAAAGAAAGAUGCCUGUUCCUGCACUGUGAGCCUCUGCCCUAAGCAGAGUUACAGGGAUCCCAGGCCUGGUUUACAUCAUCUGGGACCAAGAGAUAGAGGGCCAGGCCCAUGGUAAGUACAUAGCUGAGAGCUUCCUGAUGGAAAUAAGGAAAAGCCAACUCAUGGUCAGGCAGCAACCCUUACCACAGAGAAUCUGAAAGAUGACACAGCUCUGCAGAAAAGGUACCAUCUUGGGAACAAGCCAUGCAAAUAAGAACUCAGAGGUUGCUUUUGCUAAAUGCACUGACUUCACAUGGGCUGCAGAUGUCUGACAGCUAAAGGCAGGACAAAAACAUGGCAGCUUUGCCUUCA
Long non-coding RNA from Peromyscus eremicus (cactus mouse), 1458 nucleotides. RefSeq lists it as uncharacterized. The record is from RefSeq and is a predicted model, not a curated record. NCBI's taxonomy places the organism in Eukaryota, Metazoa, Chordata, Mammalia, Rodentia, Cricetidae. The transcript has 3 exons.